This is a long non-coding RNA of Sarcophilus harrisii (Tasmanian devil), 11332 nucleotides long. RefSeq lists it as uncharacterized. NCBI's taxonomy places the organism in Eukaryota, Metazoa, Chordata, Mammalia, Dasyuromorphia, Dasyuridae. The transcript is spliced from 4 exons. The record is from RefSeq and is a predicted model, not a curated record.
UCAGAAUUAAAGGGGAAAACCACAAGAGAAAAAAAAAAGUGGAAAUAGUAUGCUCUGAUCCACAUCCAGACUGCAGAGUUCUAUUUCUGGAGGUGGGUGGCAUUUUUCUGGUCCUUUUCAAUGGCUAACCCUAAAUUGAUUGGGAUCCAUCGUCAUUUCCCCCCUUGCCCCGAUUAACUGAACUCUCUGCCUCCAGUCCACCCUUCACUCAGCCGUCAAAACGAUCUUCCUAAAGAUGACCAUCCCCGCCUCCUGCUGGAUGGUGUAGGAUGGGGAGAAGGAGGUGUAUCAGAAUGAGAGGGGUGGGGGAGGUCGGGCCGCGUUCCCUCCCGCUGGCCCCGGGCCCGGCACGCACUCUCCCCUCGCAUCCUACGCCCUGUGGCUCCCGUCCAGCCCCAGCUCCGUCCUGCUCCCACUCCCCCUGACUGCUGAUGCCUUCGCUUGGUUAAAGUCUCUCCAGCACCUCCUGCCUGGCUGCAGCUGCUACCCUGCUGCCAUCCCCAGGGAUCAGGGGCUUCCACCUUUCUGUGUGCGUGCAGCCCUUCGCGGAGCGUGUGGCACAGAGGAAAGAGAGGCUAUUGCAAACACGGUCCUGCUGUAAAUCACAGCGACAGAGCUCAGUCCUAGAAGGCUGGAGCCCGGAGCCCCAAAGGACUGAGAGCACCAAGCCUUGUAUACUGAGAGGAGGAAUCUGAAUUUGAAUCAGCAAUGGGGAGCCACUAGAGCACCGUCAUUCUGAACUGAAGGAGCAACAGGGAAAUCUAGACCACCACUGGACUACCCACAAUCCUAGAGGAUCCCUGAACAAGUUCACUGAGGAGAGUGGGACAAAGCAUGCAGGUAAGAAAUUGAGAGGAAGAGGUAACAGUGGUGAAGUGCUGGGUCCUUGUGACCCAGGAAAGACAGGAUACAUAAGGCAGCCACUACUCCAUCAAAUGCCCACAUCCUCUGCCAGUCUCUGGGACCACAUUAGAAUGACAGGAGAGUCGCACAACGUCCCACCCUACCCCCCAACUUCCGGUUGGCUACCUAGUGGGACAGAGCAGUAGGUCUGGAAUCAGAAACAUCUGACUUCAGAAUCAGUCACAGACGCUUCCUAGUCCUGUGACCCUGGACCAGUUAUUUAUUCUCUGCCUGCCUCAGUUUCCUGAAUUGUAAAAUGGGGAAAAUAACAGCACCUGUCUUGCAGGCUUGUUGUGAGAAUCAAAUGAGAUAUUAUUUGUAAAGUGCUUACACAGUGUCUGGCGUAUGGUAGGUACUCUGUCAAUGUUUAUUCCCUUCCUCACCAUCUAAACUUGCCUGAACCUCUCUCCAAGCUCACCUCUCUCUACCUUCUAAACACCAAAUCCUUCCAUUCUGUGCUGACCAUCCCACUCUUUCUCACAUCAAAAUGCUACUUCCCAAUGGAAACCUCAAGGAAGGAAAAAGCAAUUAAGGAGGGAGGGACCUCAUCUUUUCCCACAGACAACAGUCAGACUCAAAGGCUGAAAGGAAGAAAAUGGGCUUCCAAAUGCCUUCCCCACAGCCCCCGGAAACAUUUGCUUACAAUUUUGGAAUUCUACCCUUUCCAAUUAAUCAGUAAGCUCCAAAAGGAAAUGAAUCCAGGUCCAGAGCUAGCAGAAGGAAAAUAAGAUGAUUCUAUCUCAAAGGCCUCAUUAGCAGCUUGAUUUAAAGUCCAGAAGAACAUUUCCACAACUCAGUUUUUCCACUCUACAAUGGGAACUGUAUGGCUGAAAAACAUGAGGAUAAUAAGCAAACUGAUUAAGCCAGAAGAAACAGAUCCUCUGAUCUGCAGAAAAAAUACUCGUAACUAAGAAUAUGCCCUCCACCACCUUCCUGCCUGGAAUUCUCUUUUCUAGGUUCCUAAGGUAUAAAUCUGACUGGAUAAAACUGGGAUCACUGCUCACCUUUAUUCCCAAACCAAAAGCAUCAGGGACCCAUCAUAAAAGUCUCAAACUAGCAGAGAAAAGCACACUGGGUGAAGUUCAACUCCCUGCCUCCUCAAACACAAAUGAAUCCACUCCAACUUCUAAAGAAAAGGAGCAGAUAAAUCAGGCUCAUAGGGAAGACACACACGGACACAUUUCUGCCAGGCUCAAUUUCAGACCCCCGGACACGUCGGAAAAUGACGCUUUAGGCAUGAGCCAGGCAAGGUAUGGCAAGAACCCUUAUCACUAGCUCCCCUCCAGGAGGGGAAAUGGUUAGUUAGUGUGCUGGGGCCAUUAUAAGGCAGCUCCCUCUAGGAGCCUGUGUUCUCCAGAGAGAGCUAAAUGGAAAAUCUAAUUGAAGUCAUCUAAGAAGAGCAAACCUUUGGGACAAAUGUAAACCUCCUCACCAGGGGCAGACAUCAGUGGCUGCCUCAGAAGCAGGUACUCUGCUCAGGUGUCAGGCUCACCAAAAAGAGAGCCACAGUUCUGCAUGUGUGACACUCUGAUGAUUUAUUAAAGGGACUCACCCAGCAAAUCUAAAUCUACACCUGGAAAAUGGUGGGGAGUUCCUCCUGAUCACUGAGCCUUAAGAAAGAUAUUAAGGAUCUAGAGAAGGAUAAUUAGCUGGAAUUGUUAAGUUUCACAAAGGAUUUUUUUGGCUUACUAGAAGAUGAUGACAAAUGACAAAGAACAGAACCCAGUCAAAUGUACAAUGAACAGCUUAUGCCAAAUACGGACACUACCCCUCCCACUGGAAGUCUGUGAGAGGACAUAAUGAUGACACCUUAGAGGGGGAAACUGAAGGACUCUCCAGGGUUCAUACCAUCAACUAACAGUAGAACAGAUUAGAAUUCCAUUUUUCUGUCUCUUGAUAUUCCUUUCUCAGGUGUGAAUUUAGUAAAAUACCCUAAGCCUGUGACUGAGAAGGGAUGGUCAGAGGGAGACUGAGAGCCCAAAGCCUCCAAGUCAUCAAAGGAGAUGUUCAUUCCGCCUGCUGGCUCACUGGCCUGUGCUCCAGAAGGAAGAAAACAGAUUGACCCGCUAGAUUUCCCACCCGAGGGCUCUUCAUACUCUGAGACUGCAAUAGGCUCCCUGAGCUUUCAUGUUCAGUGAGGUAGUUUUUUGUACCGUGGGUAGUAAAGCCCUAGGACAUUCAUUAGCCCAAAGUGGAACGCGUAGAGACAAGGAGCAGGUUCAGAAAAACCUGAUGUCCAUUCAUGGAUGAAUGACUACUAAUGGUUUAUUAGGGAAGCCAGGGUGCUGGCGUGUCCCUAAUCUGCUGGGACUGUAUUCCCCAAGCCCCGCUCCCUCCACCUCUCCCUGCAGCUCUUAUAGAAGCACACAGGGCUUGCUGGGCCAUGGGUCGGAGCCUGCAGAACAAUCCUAAUGACCUCAUGUGCUUCAAUCCCCAUCAGGUUUUCUAAGCUAACUCAUUUCUGUGGAUCAUCUCACACAACUGGCUGCAGGUCAGUGGUGAAAGACAUAGCAAAUGAAAAGAUGAAAGAGAGGAUUCUUAAGAGUUAAAUGAGCAAGUCCUCACUUACUUGGAUCCUCCUAGCCAUUUUCUAAGACUGAACACAACAAUACAACAAUGGGGGGAGGGGGGCUCCAAAACUAAAAGCAAAUAGGACAGAAUCAAAGCAAAAUAUCAAAAGAAAAAUUUCUCAGGAAGACUCAAAUAAUCUCAAAGGAAAGGCUCAUUGAUCUAAACCUAGUUAGAGACUGAUCUUCCCAUCUCUAAAUCUUACACUGGGGAAACCACUCAAAUUUCAGCUAGCCAAAGUUAUCACCGAGACACUGCACACUCUAUUUCUACCUAUCCAGAAGCAGGAUAGGGCAGGGCUCAAAAAGAAAACCCAAAUAAAAAGUUAAUUCCACAAACAGCCAAUUCUACCGCUUUCUAUUCCUAAAUUCCUCUGCAACAGGAGGCCAAAUGAGGAAGAGAACAAGCAUUUAGUAAGUACCUCCUACGUGUAAGGCUCUGUACUAUGUACUUUACAAACACCCCUCUUUUGAGAAACACAGAAAUGGACUCUUUUAAAAAGUCAGAAGUGCCUUUUGAUGGCAUCAAAUCUAAUCCCUUCAUUUUAGAGGUUGGAAAACAAGAGUCCCACAGCUAAGAAGAUGGCACAGUUCAUCAGGAUGAAGGCAGGGUUCAAGUGACUUAGAACGGAAGAGUUCUUGAAGGUUAUUUCAGCCAAGCCCUACAUGAACAGUCAUCUGCAAAGUGAGGUCUACACUGAUAGAAGAGCUGGACCAAAAUGACACUAAGAGGAAAAAAGAAGAACCAGGAGGCAAACCUGGGUCUCCUAAGCCAGGGUUCUACUCCAGGUUAGAACUCAGGUGUUCCUGCCUUCUACUCCAGAGAUCUCUCCAUUACACCACACUUCCCUCCCCCCAUCCCCAAAGCAUCCUACUCAGAAAAUUAAGGGACCUGUUUCUGAACCUGGUAAGCAGAAAGCCUAUUCGAGGGAAUUACCCAAGGGCCAACUGGACACACUACAUGAACAGGGCCACCGUUCCCUGAGCUCUACAAGCAGGCAGAACCCAAGAAAUUCUUCACCAAUACCGGACUCUCUACAUAAAUGGGCUCCAACCACUGUUCUCUCUCUUUGGGAACAAACAACAGCAAUAAGAGAAAACAUCUUAAGUGCACUGCUACCUAUCAGAAGUACUAAGCAAGCCCACUCUGAUAAACCUAAAAUGGAAGUUUCUCUUGAGCAGAGCUCCUUUUGCUAGGAGGAACAAUGCAGUGGUAAUGAUGAAAUUAAAGACGUUUCAACAGCUGUCUCAAGAGCACUGCUAACAAAAUCACUAAGUUGGUAUUUCCCUUAUUCCUGAGAGGGGAUAGGGGUUUGGGGAGGGGAAUGAGUGGUAAAACAGUUAAGAGACAAGCAGUCCAGGCCUCUUGAAAAAAGCAGUAAUAGAAUAACCAAUCUCUGAAGAAGAGAUUACACUGCUUGCAAAUAUUAAUUCAAGUAACAUGCGGGAAAAAAAAUAAUAAAGUCCUGUGAAACCGAGAAGGGCAUAGAUGAUUGGAAAAGAAAUAUGGACAUUCAUGGCAAUGGUGGGGGUUACCUGUAGAGCAUGAGAGCCACUGACAGAAGGCGGCUAGCUAGCUAGGCAAUGUGAAGGCCAAGGCUAUGGUGAUUGGCAGCCCAAACCCUAAAUCUGCCAAGGGCCCAGGGAGGCUCUCUCAGUGUUCAAUAAUUCAGGAUAUUCAGAAUGUAUCCCGAGGGUUGAAAAAGGCCCCCGUGGAACAAGCCCUCGAAAAUUAAAUACAGGCUAGUUUUCCCAAACGUUUAGCAACUGACCAAUAGACCUAACUAAGUUCCUCUGGAAUCCUAAAAUCUGACAUUGCAGGAAAAAUUUUACUAGGAGUUAGUGGGACUAGAUAAAGCUUUUCUUUUAGAAAAUAAUUUGAGGGCUCUGUCAAGUCCCUAAGAAAGGUCUCCUCGGCAUUUAAAGGGUCUAAGUGGUAAAGUCACAUCACCACCAUGAUAAAACCUGGUUCACGUAUUUUCAGGACCAGAACAGUCUCGAAAUAAACCUUUGGUCUUUCACGUGUUUUGCUGUGUCCUUGCUACCUAGGUUCAUUAAUCAAGAGUAAAAGAGUACUACUAGUCUAACCUCCCUUUCACAAUUCUCAAGUGUGGUCAUAGCCCAGUAUCUAUGACAUCGUCCCAUGAUCUCCAUGGCGAUGUGCUAACACUAGCAACCUUUGAAAGCUGUAGGGAGGAUGUCUGUCAUACCAAGCAGAAACUGUGUUAGGAAAAUCAGGAAAGGUCAACCGGCAGCAUUCAUCCCCAUUUUCUUUACUUUCAAUUUGGCCAACAACAAUCUUGGAGGCCCCCGAUAUGUUUCAUAAUAAGCUGAAGCCCAUGGAGUCCACAAAAGCAUCAGAGUAAGAGUAAGGAGGCCCUUUAGCAACUCUGCCAUCAGACAGCAAUUUUCCCAAGUGUAAAAUUAGAAUAGUUACCCCUCACCCUUCCCAUCUCAAAGGCAGAACAAGGCUAUUGUUUGGAUCAGGCAGCCUAAUCAAACAUUCUAAAAAGUAAAAGGCUCAACACAAACAUGGCUCUGAGCAGGGUGCACACAGCCCCUGGCCCUCACAGGGUUAUUCCAGCUAAAGCAACAAGACACUGAGCUUGAGUUAUAAAGGUCUCAUUCCCUGUGACCCACCCCCAACUUGCUCCAGAACAGGCCAUCAUACAGAGCAGGCAGGUGCUUAAUAACCAUAAGGCGGCACGCCAGGACCCAGAAUUGCUACAGAGACGGUCUAUACAAAGCAACGGAAUUGGUAUUUGCCCUUCUGAUUUUUAACAAAGGAUGUCGGCACCCUGUUAAAAGAUCUGACUUUGUAUAAUGGAGUAACUGGGGGAAGAGAAAGAAGGUAUAAUAAUACCAAGUAUAUUUGGUUCUAAGAGGAUCGGCUUAGCUUUAUAGAUGGAAGACAGCUAAUUGUCCAGAGUUACUCAGGAGGGAGAAAAAGCAGGCCUCAAUCCUUUGUCCCAAGUGAAAAUUCAUCUGCCUCGUGCUCUAAGCAGCGGAAUCUCUCUACAGGUGUGAUUCCAAAGAUGAAAUGCUUCUUGAGUUGUGCCUUAGCAUCUGGGUACAGUUUAAAAUAAAAUUUACCAGGGAAACCUGGGGGCAACAAGCUGGGGCUUUUUCCUACCACCAAGGCAGCUACAUCCUGGUCUAAAUGUUUAAGUUACUUGAGUAACAGUAAAAGGCAGCUUUGGGCAAAUUUCUCCAAGACAUUAUUUAACUUUGCAGAAACAUCUUCACUGACCAAACACGAUUUUCACCAAGCUGUCUAUUAGGAGAAGCUCUGAAAUAUGCAGAAACCUCUGAAUUCCCUAACCUUUCUAACAAUCCAGGCCCAGGCCCAGUCUAAUCUAGAUCAAAAAAGCUGAUAGCAAUUCCAAGAACAAUUUCCAAAUAUUUAGGGAAAAGACACCAAUAAUUCUGUUUUCAAACCAGAGAAGCCCCUCACCUGACAGUAUCUACCUACUCAAAGUUUGCUGCUAUCUUAAUUCACUCUUCCCAGGAAAAUCCCAAUUUUCUUGGUUCACUGACCUUAAGAGGGGAAGGGAACCUUGGCAAUGCUCUACUGCAACCCCCUUACCAUGCAAAUGGAAACUAAGACUCAGAGAAUCAAGUGAGCUGCCCAAACAAGCCUCACGACAUGGUGGGACUGAGGCUAGAAUUCAGCCUAGCACUCUUCCCCCUGGCUAACCUUCUAUUUCUAAAUUUACUUAACAUUUCCAUUCUUUCCAUACUCCACAUACCCUCCUUACUGGAAUCAAGGCAGGCCCAGAGUCUCGAACCAACUGGCAACCUGACCUCGUUAAUACUCCGCCGGUGUCCUGCAGAGGUCACAUUCCUUCAUUCAUUCAACAAAUAUUUACCUCCUACGUGCAAGGCUGCCAAGUAAUAGGAUUUAAAAUGAACUGUAACAAGCCACAAAAUGAACCCCUGGCUCGUGCUGUCCUUUAACUCAGGCAGGGAGCCACUGGCAUGGGAGACAUAAUUCAGUGUAGAAGAAAAUGGAUUGGAGCAUUACUGAUGGCUUGACUGACUCUGGGGAACAGGCCAGUCUCUGGCUCCUGACUGAAUGCCAAGGGCCCUGUGACCACAUAGAGGCCAAUAUCUGCUAAUGAGCGAUCCCGAUUCCCUUUGUACCUGACCCCUGGCUUUUAUAUUCCUUAGCCAAAGAGAAGUGGGAUGAGAGGGUAAAUCCUGGGCUAGUGAGCCCCAAGUCAAAGAACCAGAUUAAUAGAAACCGUAUCAGCCAACUAGACUUCCAUGUGGUCUGCCAAGGUAGUAAUUGGUACCAAUGACCAACCUUCUGCCUCAAUUUCUCCAUUCCAGAAAUGUCACUGAGAAUGAAAGGCAGCCAAUGAGGACAACACAAUCUCAGUCACUGAAAAGCUUAAAAUGAUCAGGUCAGAAAACCAAACAGGACAAGGAGGCCUCAAAAAUCUCCUAGAAUAUAUACAACUCCAGCACCCAAUUCAUGCAGAUCACAAUGUAAAUUGACUGAAGCCUUAAAAGAGCUAAAAGAGAAAACAAAACAACAAGCUAGUUUCUCUGCAAAUACCUGUGCUAAGGACUGAUCCCAACACACACAAAUCCCAGCCCAUAAUGAUGCAAGAUUAGUGCUAGGCCUCAGAUCACUUAGUCCAGUUCUCUGAAUUCCCCUCUAAAAUGUUCCAUGAGGAGGACUGGCCCUACUUCUAGUAGGUCUAAUGUCUCUUUCAUAAGAAAGAGUUCAGAGGAUCAUUUUACUGAUCACAUUUCAUAGUUAUCUGAAAAUAGUUUGUAUCCACCAACCUUAACUAGAAACAUAAGCCUACAGUAUUCAAUCCGCACCAAUUUAACCAUUACUCCCCAGCAGAGAGAACCCCGCCAAAGAGAUGGUCAAAGAGGCUAACAAAACCCAGCCGUGAUCCUUAUAUGACUCAUCCCAACACUUUGGGAAGUCAAGCACCCCAUCCAACUAGAUGUCUGUCCAGGGAGGAUAGAAGCACCCCACUACCAGUCAUCUAUCUGGGAUAAAAAUGGGCCUAUUGGCCUGAUUUUCUAUAUUGAUAUACAUAGUACAGACUAAUAGGUCAUCUAACUCUAGAGGGCUCAAGCCUUAUCCUUUUGAUCAGAAUCACUUGAAGGACUAAGUACCGUUUGCCUGCUCAGCUCUUUGGCAAUGAAAGUGUAGGUGGCUCACAGACAUUUUCAGUUGAAUGGCCCUUUAUGCUGGCCAGGUGAUUUCCCCCCACAUUUCCAAGCUUGCGUUUAGAUUCACAAACUGCUGGAGAGAUAUGACCUGACCUAAUCCCAGCUUCUCACUUUCUAAAUAAAUAGGGCCAACGAACAACUUCUUCUAGACGUCUCAACCAAGUACAUUUUUUGCGCCUCUGAUUCCAAACCAUUUCCUAGCUAAUCUACCAUCCAAUUGAAAUUCCAUAUACCCUACCUGGUCAUAGCUUUUUCUUACGAGCUCUGCAUUAUUCUGUUCUGUGACUCGAUUUUACAAAUCCCGAAAGGACUCUGGAGAACAUCUAAUCCAAUGGCCUCAUUUUAUAGAGUGAACUAGGACCCAAAGAUGGGGAGGAUAGCUCAGACCCACGGUCACACAAAAUCCCCAAACAGAACUGUAAAGUCUUCUACAUUCUUAUGACACUGGAAUUUUAUCCCUUCUAACUCCACAGAAGUAGCCCAUUAAAAUUUUCUGGUUAGAAACAGAUUCCAAUCAUAAUAUUUUAUGUUUUUCCAAGAUCUGGCCUGUGCUCUGCUAUGGAAAAUAGCUAAACCUUACUGCUGUAGGAUGUUUCCAAUAACCACAUAACACAAAAGCAUUACUUAUUACAAAGAAUGGCAUCCCCAAAGUAACUAUUUUUCCUAUCACAGGAGGAAAAAAAAAAAAAGAGCAAGAACCAGGCCACUUUGCCUGAAAAUAAACAUGGCACAAGAGAAAACUUUCUACACCAACAAACCUAGAAACCUUCUCUCAAACUUAUAGUCAAACGUUUACUUCUAAUCUUGCAAACCAGGAAAUAGACAAGCAAACCCUAAGUCUCAGGAGCAAGACAAGACACUCAAUGUCCUUUGGGAGGACCAUUUCUAGCUAGGUUGGAAAAAAAAAAAAGGGCAGGAAAGGAAGGGACUAUCUCCAAACAGCUGCUUCUAUGGAAUUCUGGGGAUUCUGAAGAACAUAAAAUAUAAAACUAUUCAGUUCCACCCACUGUUUGCAAGACCAAGGUCAAGCUAUGCAUUAAAAAAAAAACAAAAAAAAACAAAAAAAAAAAAAACUCCCUAUCUGGGAAAGCAACUGAUUUUUAGAGGAUCCUGGCUCCUUGCAUCUCAAUAUUUUUCUGCCAAGAGGCUUCUGUUAACGUGUACAGUCCAAAUAAUUUUUUCCUCAGAUUGGAAACAAACAAACCACCUUUCUAACGCUUGGACAAAUUCAUUUUAACUGUUUGCACACAAAAAGGCUUCCUUAGAAGGCAGGCUAUGAAACAGAAUCCUAUCUUUUUAAAUGUUAUUUACUAGAUGUGCUGACAAGGAUUCCAUAAACAUCCUCCUUUUCUAUUUUGCAACAUCCAGAAAUUUGUAUUUUGAACUACACUGAGUACAUCAGUUAAUUUUUUUUUAAAAAAGUGAUACUGUAGCAAAGAAUCCAUUUAAACAAAAGUACAAAUCCAACUUCAAGGGCAAACCCUUUUUUGUUUUGGCUUUACUAGAUUAGAUUUCAUUUUCCUUUUAAACUAAAAGGAUACAUAUUGGUGCAGGUCUGUAUCAGGAGUGGGGAGUGGGUGGGGGAAGAAGGCCCAAAAUGUACCCUGCAUGUGGAGAAGACUUAAAUGAUAGGGAAACAGUUUCAACUUUUUUUUUUUUUUUACAAACUGUUUCACUUCGGAAUAUGCAUUAUCCAAUACACUCAACCUAAAAAACAAACAAACAAAAAAAAAAACUUAAAAGGAAAAUGAGCAUCCUUUUCCACUGACCCAAGCAGCAAGUUUUUGCUAAAAGGAGGUCUCUCAUUUCAAACAGUAAUGGAAAGCUGCUGGUAGCUAUUCUUGGCCACUGGCCUCUUUGGGAGUGGGAGUGGAUUUCACACUGGAAGGGAAACUUGACAUCAAUGUAAAACAAAUUCAGUUCCCUUUAGUUUGGCCCUAGGAAGAAUGAUUUUCUGAAACAUGUGCUCCCUGCGGGUGCUUCAGACAUCUUUGCUCCAGCUUCUAUUGCUAUGUCACAAUGCUGAGCUGUGUGCUCACACUAGGCUCUCCCUCUCAACCACUGAGAUCACUGACACAUGAGCCCCAAUUGCAGGUCAGACCCAAGAGGUUAUGAAGCCACAAACGUGGUGAGAGCAGUAGUUAUAUGGGAGGGCAGUGGCUGACUCAACUGGAAUCUGGACAGUGGUUCCCUUUCCCCCCAAAAGCACGUGCUUAACAAAGGAACAGUAGAAGCAGCCAGAAGCUUGGGACUGGACAGUUCACAGAGUUUGUGCUUCAACAGUAUGUUACAAAUGACUUGGUCAGUUUAAACUUCCAUCAAGUAUCGACACUGUAAGACACAGGAGAGAAGAUGUGAGAGAAAACGUGGACCACUUCCCCCCCCAGUAAGGGGGUGGGGGGAGCAGCAGAGCAGGGUGGCGGUUUAACAAGAGGAGAUCACAUUGUUCUCUGUCCUAUAGACAUAGGCAUGACUGGCACUGAUACAGUAUCCACUUUCUUCAUAAAAGGAUGAAGGCUGGAGAUCAAGCAAUGGAUCUGAGGGGCAAAGAGGUCAGAUCCCGACCACAUGUAGAUUUCGCUAAUUGAGAAUGAUACAGUAGACUUUUUUAAAAAAAAAGAAAACUGUGCACUUUCAGGGAUAACUUAAAAAUGAUUAACUUGCAA